RNAcentral lists this long non-coding RNA (1251 nucleotides) under Homo sapiens (human). RNAcentral's name for it is "HSALNT0346421". The record is from RNAcentral. Lineage: Eukaryota; Metazoa; Chordata; Mammalia; Primates; Hominidae.
GGUACUUUGAUAUUUUAUGUACAGUAUAUAAUAAGUAUUUGGUGUACUUUGAUAUUUUAUGUACAGUAUAUAACAUGUAUUUGGUGUACUUUGAUAUUUUAUGUACAGUAUAUAAUAUGUAUUUGGUGUACUUUAAUAUUUUACAUACAGUAUAUAAUAUGUAUUUUGUGUAUUUUGAUAUUUUGUGUACAGUAUAUAAUAUAUAUUUUGUGUACUUUGAUAUUUUAUGUACAGUAUAUUAUAUGUGUUUUCUGUACUUUGAUAUUUUAUGUACAGUAUAUAAAAUGUAUUUGGUGUACUUUGAUAUUUUAUGCACAGUAUAUAAUAUGUAUUUGGUGUACUUUGAUAUUAUAUGUACAGUAUAUAAUAUAUAUUUGGUGUACUUUUUGAUAUUUUAUGUACAGUAUAUAAUAAGUAGUUGGUGUAAUUUUUGAUAAUUUAAGUACAGUAAAUAAUAAGUAUUUGGUGUACUUUUUGAUAUUUUAUGUACAGUAUGUAAUAUGUAUUUGGUGUACUUUUUGAUAUUUUAUGUACAGUACAUAAUAUGUAUUUGGUGUACUUUGAUAUUUUAUGUACAGUAUAUAGUAUAUAUUUGGUGUACUUUUUGAUAUUUUAUGUACAGUAUAUAAUACGUAUUUAGUGUACUAUUUGAUAUUAUAUGUACAGUAUAUAAGAUACAUUUGGUGUACUUUUUGAUAUUUUAUUUACAGUAUAUGACAUGCAUGUGGUGUACUUUUUGAUAUUUUAUGUACAGUAUAUAACAUGUGUUUGCUGUACUUUGAUAUUUUAUGUAGAGUAUAUAAUAUGUAUUUGGUGCACUAUGAAAUUUUAUGUACAGUAUAUAAUAUGAAUUUGGCGUACUUUGAUAUUUUAUGGACAGUAUAUAAUAGGUAUUUUGUGUAGUUUGAUAUUUUAUGUACAGUAUAAAAUAUGUAUUUGGUGUACUUUGAUAUUUUAUGUACAGUAUAUAAUAUGCAUUUGAUGUAGUUUGAUAUUUUAUGUACUCUAUAUAAUAUGUAUUUGGUGUAUUUUGAUAUUUUAUGCACAGUGUAUAAUACACCAAAUACAAUUUAUAUACUGUACAUAAAAUAUCAAAGUACACCAAAUGCAUUUUAUAUACUGUAUAUAAAACACCAACGUACACCAAAUACAUACUAUAUACUGUACAUAGUUUGAAAGUACACCAAAUACAUAUUAUAUACUGUACAUAAAAUGUCAAAAAGUACACCAAAUACAUAUUAUAUACUGUAC